Molecule: ribosomal RNA, 484 nt
Filed under: uncultured bacterium
Lineage: Bacteria
Description: partial 16S ribosomal RNA
Rfam family: Bacterial small subunit ribosomal RNA
Source: RNAcentral
AUUGAACGCUGGCGGCAUGCUUUACACAUGCAAGUCGAACGGCAGCGCGGGCUUCGGCCUGGCAGCGAGUGGCGAACGGGUGAGUAAUGCAUCGGAACGUGCCCAGUAGUGGGGGAUAGCCCGGCGAGAGCCGGAUUAAUACCGCAUACGACCUGAGGGUGAAAGCGGGGGACCGAAAGGCCUCGCGCUAUUGGAGCGGCCGAUGUCGGAUUAGCUAGUUGGUGGGGUAAAGGCUUACCAAGGCGACGAUCCGUAGCUGGUCUGAGAGGACGACCAGUCACACUGGGACUGAGACACGGCCCAGACUCCUACGGGAGGCAGCAGUGGGGAAUUUUGGACAAUGGGGGCAACCCUGAUCCAGCCAUGCCGCGUGCGGGAAGAAGGCCUUCGGGUUGUAAACCGCUUUUGUUCGGGAAGAAAUCCUCUGGGCUAAUACCCCGGGGGGAUGACGGUACCGGAAGAAUAAGCACCGGCUAACUACGUG